ACCUUUCAACAGCGGAUCUCCUGGUUCUCGCAUUGAUAUAGACGCAGCGAAUCGCAAUACGUAAAUCAAUAUGAAAUAUUUGAAACAGAUUUAUUGAGACAUCAGCUGAUUUUUAGAAUUCACAAGCUACUUCAAUGAAUAAUGUUUUAAGUCUUGUGAUUUUGAGAAUCAUUAAAUUUUUGAAGGCACAUUUCGCUUUAUGGUAUCCCUCAAGGCAUGGAUCAAAUGGCUCCA
Molecule: ribosomal RNA, 234 nt
Filed under: Metschnikowia bicuspidata var. bicuspidata NRRL YB-4993
Lineage: Eukaryota; Fungi; Ascomycota; Pichiomycetes; Serinales; Metschnikowiaceae
Description: 5.8S ribosomal RNA
Rfam family: 5.8S ribosomal RNA
About the family: 5.8S ribosomal RNA (5.8S rRNA) is a component of the large subunit of the eukaryotic ribosome.
Source: Rfam by way of RNAcentral